This 406-nucleotide ribosomal RNA is filed under the name uncultured bacterium. RNAcentral describes it as "bacterial SSU rRNA". It matches the Rfam family "Bacterial small subunit ribosomal RNA", at positions 355 to 773 of the family's 1533-position model. The record is from RNAcentral.
UGGGGAAUAUUGCACAAUGGGCGCAAGCCUGAUGCAGCGACGCCGCAUGAGGGAUGACGGCCUUCGGGUUGUAAACCUCUUUCAAUAGGGACGAAGCGCAAGUGACGGUACCUAUAGAAGAAGGACCGGCCAACUACGUGCCAGCAGCCGCGGUAAUACGUAGGGUCCGAGCGUUGUCCGGAAUUACUGGGCGUAAAGAGCUCGUAGGUGGUUUGUCGCGUUGUUCGUGAAAACUCACAGCUUAACUGUGGGCGUGCGGGCGAUACGGGCAGACUAGAGUACUGCAGGGGAGACUGGAAUUCCUGGUGUAGCGGUGGAAUGCGCAGAUAUCAGGAGGAACACCGGUGGCGAAGGCGGGUCUCUGGGCAGUAACUGACGCUGAGGAGCGAAAGCGUGGGGAGCGAAC